GGAGGGGCGGGGCCAUCUGCUGCAACCGGUUGGGAUGAGAGAAGGAAAACAGGAUAAAGACAUGCUGUGGAAGAGAGCCAGAGAUUAAUAACAGAUAUGAUUCAGUGAAGAGAGGUCUAUUAACACAUAGUGAGUGAGAAAGGUGACUGGAAAGGAAAAACUCAAUGCACCAUGGGAAUCCCCCGGCAGCCUACAUCUAUUGCAGCAUAACUAAGGGAGGAUUCAGGGUCACCUGAUCCAGCCCUAACUAUAUGCUUUAGCAAACUGGAAAGUCUGAAGUCUAAUCUUAAAAGUAGAGAUAGUGUCUGUCUCCUGAAUCCAAACCAGAAGCUGGUUUCACAGAAGAGGGGCCUGAAAACUGAAGGCUCUGCCUCCCAUUCUACUUUUAAAUACUCUAGGAACAACAAGUAGGCCUGCAGUGCGAGAGCGAAGUGCUCUAAUAGGGUUAUACAAGGUCUAUACUACAAGGUCAUUAAGAUAAGAUGGGGCCUGAUUAUAAAGCGCCUUGAGGCGACUGUUGUUGUGAUUUGGCGCUAUAUAAAUAAAAUUGAAUUAAAUUGAAUUGAAUUGAAUUAUUUAAGACCUUGUAUGUGAGGAGCAGGAUUUUGAAUUCAAUUCUGGAUUUAACAGUUUAGCAGUCCGCCGGACCAAGGAAGAAAUAGAGAGAGCGUCGACGGGUGCAGUAAUUUUUACUUUGAGAUUCAUUCAGAAUCUAACAGUGCUGAGGUACGCCAAUGCACCGUGAAAACUAAACAGAAACACAAAAUACAUUUUCUUAGACGCUUAUUACAAAUAUGAACUCAAAUAAAGCAGAAAAUACAACAAAAUAUCAACUAAGCAAUCAAAUACAACUUAAAACAUGUACCUCGCUCCGCAUUCCAAGGGCUGCAAAUUGUAAUUUUCGCUAGAGUCCGGUAUCACGCUGCUUCACGCUUCAUCGAGAGCUGCCUACUGGCACAUGUGCGCCACAAAACCGGUCUGAGUUGGAAGUGAAGCUUGCCGCUAACUAAGCGACAGAGCCCUCUACUGGACACUACGAGUAGCUGUUCAGGCUUAGAUCAAUAAACAAAACUGGACCUUUACACUCCCACCAAAUCAUGUAUAACAAACAACAUUCUAUACAUCAUUUCCAGACUUAACAUAUGGACAUUACUACAAGACCGAACACAAUUUCAAGCACAUCAUCAAUAAACCUUCGCAAAAAUACGCCUGAUGUGAUAGUAUUGAUUGAAACAUCAAUUAGUUAUUUUCUAAUAGAACUACAAGCUUUUGAACAGGUCGCUCAACUAUGUGAGGUUUGUGUGCUGUACCCUGCUUCUUUGUUAAGCUUCGAUCACCAACUUGAAGCUUGACUCUGCGGACCAAACCGUCAUCUUCUUCUGGUGCUUCAACCACUCGAGCCAGUUGCCACUGAUUUCUGGGAAGCAUGUCAUCUUUGAUAAUGACUAUGUCAUUGACCUUAAGAUUUCGACGUGGUACGUGCCAUUUCUGUCUCGUAGAUAUGUUCAGAAGGUACUCUCUUUUCUAUUUACUCCAAAACUGCUCAGUGAGAUACUGGACUCUAAACCAACGUUUCCUUGCAUAUAAGUCCUCUUUCACAAACUUUCCUGGUGGAGGCAGUGCAACCUUUGAUUUCAUCAAUAUGAGGUGAUUUGGAGUUAGAGGUUCAGGAGAUUUAGGAUCAUUGAUUCCAUCGACGCUCAGUGGUCGGCCAUUAACGAUAAACAUCGCCUCAUAGAAUAGAGUUCUUAGAGAGCUGUCAUCCAGCCUGCCUUGGCAUUGAGCAAUGGUGGCAUUGAGAAAAUUGCGGAUGGUUCGAAUCUGUCAUUCCCACACACCUCCGGCGUGGCUAGCAGAUGGGGCAUUGAAGACGAACUCACACUGUUUAUUGGCAAGGAAUGCUCCUAAGGCAUCUGUGUCACAUUGUUUAAGAGACUCCCUUAGCUCAUUUUUGGCUCCAAUAAAGUUUGUACCCUGGUCACUGUACAACUUACAAACAGCUCCUCUUAAGCUGAUGAAACAUCUCAGAGUGUUGAUGAAAGAGUCAGUAGAAAGAUCCUCAAGCAUCUCAAUGUGGACUGCACGUGAGGAAAGACAUGUAAAGAGGAGUCCGUAUCUUUUAUGCUCUUUGUGUCACGGCCUGCGGGAUCGGCAAGGUGCUGAACAGCAUCACUCCACUCCUAGCCCCCCUUCUCUCCUCUUUUUCCUCUCUCUCCCCUGUUUUGCCAGGGCGGAACUCAUGGCGGGUUCACGCCCUUGGUCCACGCCUUCUCGGAUUGUGCACACCUGGGCUUCAUCAGACCAGCUGGUAUAUCAGAAGGAGGAGAUCAGCUGUUCAACGCUGGAUUGUUGUGAAGGCUUCUAUUCCCCGGACCCGUUCCCGUGUUUCCCCGUGUGGUGUGUGGAAGGAGUGACAGGUCGCUAGUGGAGAGGAGAGAGGCUGUUUGGAGCGCGAGUGUGGUUUCCCCGUUUUCCCUGGAGCCCUGGACCCCUGCCCCUCACGUCUUGUAUAUAGCACUAACCCCGCACUGUCUAUACAUACACUCGGUGAAGAUUUGUAAUAAACUAUCUCUGUGUGAACGCUACCCAGGAGUCCUGCGAGUGGAUCCUCUAAGCAACCCGUGACACUUUGCGACCUUGUUUUGUGACAAAUGGUCCGAAACAGUCCAUUCCACAAUACAUGAAAGGAUCUGAGAUUUCAACUCGUUCCUUUGGAAGUUCAGACAUGCGUUGUUCUUCUGGUGAACGUCUUAGUUUUCGACAUUGAACACAUUUGGUUACAAGUUUUGCAACUUCCCUGCUCCCACCAAUCACCCAAAAUCCGUUUGAUCUGAUUUCCAUGAGAGUUUGGCUUCU
Molecule: long non-coding RNA, 2856 nt
Organism: Oreochromis aureus
Lineage: Eukaryota; Metazoa; Chordata; Actinopteri; Cichliformes; Cichlidae
Source: Ensembl